RNAcentral lists this ribosomal RNA (497 nucleotides) under uncultured bacterium. RNAcentral's name for it is "partial 16S ribosomal RNA". It matches the Rfam family "Bacterial small subunit ribosomal RNA", at positions 28 to 507 of the family's 1533-position model. The record is from RNAcentral.
GAUGAACGCUGGCGGCGUGCCUAAUACAUGCAAGUCGAGCGAACGGACGAGAAGCUUGCUUCUCUGAUGUUAGCGGCGGACGGGUGAGUAACACGUGGAUAACCUACCUAUAAGACUGGGAUAACUUCGGGAAACCGUAGCUAAUACCGGAUAAUAUUUUGAACCGCAUGGUUCAAAAGUGAAAGACGGCCUUGCUGUCACUUAUAGAUGGAUCCGCGCUGCAUUAGCUAGUUGGUAAGGUAACGGCUUACCAAGGCAAUGAUGCAUAGCCGACCUGAGAGGGUGAUCGGCCACACUGGAACUGAGACACGGUCCAGACUCCUACGGGAGGCAGCAGUAGGGAAUCUUCCGCAAUGGGCGAAAGCCUGACGGAGCAACGCCGCGUGAGUGAUGAAGGUCUUCGGAUCGUAAAACUCUGUUAUUAGGGAAGAACAUAUGUGUAAGUAACUGUGCACAUCUUGACGGUACCUAAUCAGAAAGCCACGGCUAACUACGUG